GACGUAGGGCGCGAGCGUUAGGCGGAAUCACUGGGCUUAAAGCGUGUGUAGGCGGAUGCCUAAGUACCUUGUGAAAUCCCACGGCUCACCCGUGGAACUGCUCGGUAUACUGGGUGUCUUGAGCCACUUAGGGGCUACCGGAACAAAUGGUGGAGCGGUGAAAUGCGUAGAUAUCAUUUGGAACGCCAAUGGUGAAAACAGGUAGCUGGGAGUGUGCUGACGCUGAGACACGAAAGCCAGGGGAGCAAACGGG
This 253-nucleotide ribosomal RNA is filed under the name uncultured bacterium. RNAcentral's name for it is "partial 16S ribosomal RNA". It matches the Rfam family "Bacterial small subunit ribosomal RNA", at positions 524 to 776 of the family's 1533-position model. The record is from RNAcentral.